GACGAACGCUGGCGGCGUGCUUAACACAUGCAAGUCGAACGGAAAGGCCCUGCUUUUGUGGGGUGCUCGAGUGGCGAACGGGUGAGUAACACGUGAGUAACCUGCCCUUGACUUUGGGAUAACUUUAGGAAACUGGGGCUAAUACCGGAUAGGAGCUCUUGCUGCAUGGCGGGGGUUGGAAAGUUUCGGCGGUUGGGGAUGGACCCGCGGCCUAUCAGCUGGUUGGUGGGGUAGUGGCUUACCAAGGCUUUGACGGGUAGCCGGCCUGAGAGGGUGACCGGCGACAUUGGGACUGAGGUACGGCCCAGACUCCUACGGGAGGCAGCAGUGGGGAAUAUUGCACAAUGAGCGAAAGCCUGAUGCAGCAACGCCGCGUGCGGAAUGACGGCCUUCGGGUUAUAGGCCGAAUUCGCCUGUGACGAAGCGUGAGUGACGGUAAUGGGUAAAGAAGCACCAGCUAACUACGUG
This 468-nucleotide ribosomal RNA is filed under the name uncultured bacterium. RNAcentral describes it as "partial 16S ribosomal RNA". It matches the Rfam family "Bacterial small subunit ribosomal RNA", at positions 28 to 507 of the family's 1533-position model. The record is from RNAcentral.